CACUCCGCUGCUCAUUCAAUUUCCUGCUCUUUGCAUUGCUUACAUUUUGACUCUCUUUCCCUUUUUUUCAGAUUAAGCUUCACUUCCUGGAUCACUUCUGUUUAAAUCAACCGACUGUAUAAAGACGAGCGGAAGACGGGGGGGGGAGAGAGAGAGAGCCUCUGCUUCUGCUCCCCAGCAACUGACAGCAAGAAAGAGAAACAGAAACACAUUUCCUGCGACCUUAAAAGGACGGCGUCAGAGCCGGAGUUGGGACAGAGGAGGACGGUGAAUUCCUUUAAUGAGAGUAAUUAGUGGCGGCAGAGGAGGACAGGCUGCGGCUCAGUGAGAUCCACUCGCCCUGUCCGGCACCGACACCACAUGCUGGCGCGAUCCAUGAAACAAGCUUUAUUGCUCUUCACACACAGUCGGAUCUGACAAGCUGGAGUUCCACAGCACGUCUCGAGGUUUUGUUCUCAAUAAAACAACGUGAGCAUCGCCUGCUGCUACGAGGCGGUUUGUCACUGUCAUUUUUUGGACUCGUGGGAGGCAAUAAAGCACAAUGAAAACAUCCCUUUGUCCCGCCGCCAUCCAAACGGAAUAGAGAGCAUAUUAAUACCAAGGACCUCCCGAGGCAGGAAGUAACCCAAGCUGCUGGGACAAACAUGGCCUCCCACAUCGUUCGGCUUCACUCAACCUUUGCUCCACUUUCUGUGCAGGGACACAGCUGCUGCAGCUCGAGACCAGAACCUUUCAGAAUCCACGUGAAAGGAAAUGAUGAAAGAAGUUAUGAGCUAAAUGAGCAUCCUGGGAACAAACCAGCUUCAUAAACCAGGUGUUUAAAGACCUGUUUUUGGAGGAAAGGUUUACUUUGUUAUGAUUUUAUUGGUUUUGACUUGUAACAUAAAGUCUGCUCAAUUUCCAGCAAAGGUGUUCAAAUGAUAGUCAUUGAUUCCCAGGUAUCCUCUUUUCCUAAAGAACGCAAAAAUGUGUUUUCUGCUGAAGGCUUCCUUGCAUUGGUGUUCACACACACAAACACACAC
Molecule: long non-coding RNA, 1022 nt
Organism: Pleuronectes platessa (European plaice)
Lineage: Eukaryota; Metazoa; Chordata; Actinopteri; Pleuronectiformes; Pleuronectidae
Exons: 4
Source: RefSeq, a predicted model, not a curated record